CGGGGCGUAGCGCAGUUUGGUAGCGCGCUUGGCUUGGGACCAAGAGGUCGUGGGUUCGAGUCCCGCCGCUCCGACCA
Molecule: transfer RNA, 77 nt
Filed under: Bacillota bacterium
Lineage: Bacteria; Bacillati; Bacillota
Also listed under: 1 other name
Description: tRNA-Pro
Rfam family: tRNA
About the family: Transfer RNA (tRNA) molecules are approximately 80 nucleotides in length.
Source: RNAcentral